AGUGAACGCUGGCGGUAGGCCUAACACAUGCAAGUCGAACGGCAGCACAGUAAGAGCUUGCUCUUACGGGUGGCGAGUGGCGGACGGGUGAGGAAUACAUCGGAAUCUACUUUUUCGUGGGGGAUAACGUCGGGAAACUUACGCUAAUACCGCAUACGACCUACGGGUGAAAGCAGGGGAUCUUCGGACCUUGCGCGAUUGAAUGAGCCGAUGUCGGAUUAGCUAGUUGGCGGGGUAAAGGCCCACCAAGGCGACGAUCCGUAGCUGGUCUGAGAGGAUGAUUCGACACACUGGAACUGAGACACGGUCCACACUCCUACGGGAGGCAACAGUGGGGAAUAUUGGACAAUGGGCGCAAGCCUGAUCCAGCCAAACCGCGUGGGUGAAGAAGGCCUUCGGGUUGUAAAGCACUUUUGUUGGGAAAGAAAAGCAGCAGGUUAAUACCCCGCUGUUCUGACGGUACCCAAAGAAUAAGCACCGGCUAACUUCGUG
RNAcentral lists this ribosomal RNA (492 nucleotides) under uncultured bacterium. Its description in RNAcentral is "partial 16S ribosomal RNA". It matches the Rfam family "Bacterial small subunit ribosomal RNA", at positions 29 to 507 of the family's 1533-position model. The record is from RNAcentral.